Molecule: long non-coding RNA, 5441 nt
Filed under: Bemisia tabaci
Lineage: Eukaryota; Metazoa; Arthropoda; Insecta; Hemiptera; Aleyrodidae
Description: lncRNA ENSSSA1UGG000934
Source: RNAcentral
AUGACGCGAUACGCUCUAAUAGCUCUCGUGAUGUUGAGUUGCUACCGCGCAUCAGUCGAUGGAGAUGAAACGUCAAGAGUGCUGGUGAGACUUCAGAACGAAGGCAGUAGUGAGAGUAAUUUUUUGAACCAAGAAGAAAACUCCGUUGUCAAGGACCAGGGCAAAUGGGUCAUCCUAGGAGUCAAUCAUGAAGAAGGGACGGGACAAAACCUUGUCGCCAGAGAUACGUCAUCGGAUGGCAAAGCAACUCGUAAUUGGACUGAUCGCAUUCCAACAGGAGGAUUCUUCAUAACCUCUCCGAAAAAGUGCCAAAACCGAUGCUCGCGGAUAUUCGGCUACUGGGAGGACCCAGCGGAGGAGAACCUGCUGAACCAGCCGAAAGUUGCCUCUGUCGGGAAAAUCUACUUCGGGGUUAAAUGUUCCUGCUUUGUGGACAAACGACUCAAGUCCCUGAUCACCGAAAAGUACGGCCCGAAUACCGCUAAGUAUUACACGUGGCUCUGUCGCUUUCGGUUGUUUGGAUUGAGGUACCGCAAGUAUUUCAACAAGGGGGACAAAGCGAUCCGAUUCGUUGGAUCUAGUGAGCUGGAAGGGUACAUUAAAGAGAAGCACGACGAAUGGACCAAAAUGAAAGAAGCCCAGGCAACGUUGGCUGCCCUGCCGGAUUAUUCCAACACGAAAAGGAAGUGAAGCGGGCAAAUGCGAUUUUGCAUGUUGGUAACACUGUUUUUCCUUAAUUUAAAUCCAUUGAAAAGAUCGAUUUUUAUCCAUUCAAUUUAAUCCAAUUUAAAGCCAUUGAAUAUAUCGAUUUUAGGUGAGGCAAACUGACUCACCAAGAAUCGAUCGUUUUACAUACAUUCAAAUGGAGAAAAUACAGUGUUGCCAACUUUCAAGAAUCGCCACUGGGAGUGGGUGCGAUUAUUAGCGGGGUCGAUUGAGAUCCUUCACGAGUAUCACAGUAAUAGUGAAAACUUUUACUUUCAGAGUAUUUGUACUUCCUCAUUUAACUACUCGAAAUAAAUUGGUUGAUUCUGUUCAGUGUGCUUUAUUGAUUUGACCGUGAUCAAUAGGCAAGAGCAGUGAGCUGAGGAAAUAGUAUAAAUUUGACAGAAUCAGCCUGAGUGCAUUUUGUGUUGCCUGAUUGUUAUCGUAUUUUAUUUUUUGAACAGAUAUUUGGAGAACUAGAAAACUUUAAAUUUUUCUCAGAUUAUGGAGAAUAUAGGUACUAACAUUUCAAUUGAACGUUGCUUCGUGUUCUGGUGAGGAAAACAAAUAGAGUUAAAACUAGGCAACGUUUGAUUUAGUCAGGCUGAUUCUGGUUUUAAAACCGUCCAAACUGUCACACCUCUGACGUAAGGUUGGACGUAUCUGUAUCAGUUGUGUGGCGUGCUGUGUGAUCUAUCGAUAUUUCCCCCUUUGAAGCUGUGUUAAAUAAUCGAUUAUUGAGGUGUUCGCUGCGAACACCCCGUUUAUCGAUACUUUUUUAUAGGUUUAAAUGGUCGAUCAACCGAUAUAUCGCAAAGCACGCCACGCCACUGAUUUUUAUUUCCACAUGAGCCCCAGAAAGCAUAGAAUUAUACAGAGAGCUCGGCUUACGUGGAAAUUUAGAUACACCCUUACGUUGGAGGAACGACGAAAUUAAUGGGAGGAAAAGAUUUUGGCUAAUUUGAGUAUCAGCUGUUAAUUGAAGUACAUUUUGCAAUUAGGAACUAUAUAUCUAUCUCAGCUUAGAAACAACGUAUGCGCCAUUAGCUUCCCUAUGCACAUUAAAGUUUUUACCCAUGAGCCAAAAAUUUUAAUUCUGAAUCGCAAAAUGUAGUCUCGAUUUCUAUCCCAUCUUCUGAUCUAUUCUAAAAUGCAUGAACCAAACUUCAUCAAUAAUUGGUAGGCCAAAUGCGAGGCGACUAACACUCCAAACUCGAGGAGGAGCCGGAGCCUCAUAGGGGGGAUAAUCUUCCUUCCUUGAAUUUGUGCUUCAGUGCCUUCAAAUUGAACGCCCUUUAAUUUUUUGACAUCCCCUUUCAAUUUACUACAUCCCCUCUGAGGGGUGAGUCACACGCUCCCCUGCCGAAAAUUCUGAUGUGCUGUUUUAUAGGCACGAUAAAUCUGACACCCGGCCACACAUUAAAAAGUCCAAGUUAAAACCGCACAAGUCCUUUAUGCGAUGAAAUCUAUAAUGCAGUAAUUCUUAUGUAGCUCAGAGCUGAUCGAAAAAUUGACUUUUUGGGUUUUACCAUGGAUCAUGGUCCGAACGAGCGGAGACAACUUCAGAAAGUUUAUGACUUCCGAUUGCACGCAGUUGCACUUGAUGACUUGAGAGGGACGGAGAGCGUAAAAUAGAAACGAAGUGGUCCAGUGAUAACAUUAACGACCAAUCAAUAAUAAACCGAAGAGAGGUCUAUUUUUCGGAGGUAAUGGAUCGUUUGACUAGUCGUUCUGGCUAAAGUUUUCAUUGCCCAGAAUUAGUUCCGACUUUCGAGACUUUUGUGUAUCGUAUAGUAUGCCAUAACUUUUACUUUUCCGGAUUUUACUGCGAAACAUCAAUGUGUUACCUAUACUUUCAUCAGGAAUGAAGAUUUUUUUCGGAUUUUUACCUGAUAGUUUUGGAUUUUGUCAAAAAGGUUUUUUGGAACUGCUGAAAUAAAUCGGAACUUCUCAAAAUGUUCGAUCAGUAUUUCCUUCUGGAACGUUGAUAGAAUUGUUCAACAAAGAAGUUGAGGUUGACCAUCAAUAUUUUUGUUUUUAGUGCGCUAUGUAUGUAUCCUUUUGAUCGAAAGAGACUGAUGUUCGCGAGAAGUGCGUCACUACCGGUGAAAAUGACAGCUCGUUCUUUGAUUGUCAAAUUGGAGACGAUAGGACUCUCCUUAUCCCGAUUAAGUUAAGAAAGAGUAAAUUCAUAGAAGAUGCUAAAAAUAGAAUGAUACGGGCAUUAUGAUUUCCUUGCGCAGAAGUUGAACUUGAGAUGAAAUACGAGUAGUAGUCGAAAAAUGGAAUAUGACUUCAUCUAGGACUAAAAAAGUCAGCAAUUUACAGAGUUUCUUAAAAAGUAAGGUCGACUCAUUUUUGUAGAAUAUUCAUGCAGCAAGCAUCAGGAGACGUGACGUCCAGUUUCAUGCCUGCUUGUUUUGAAAAACGUUUAAUGGCCUUUAAAUGCUCUGCUCUACCACAGGAAGCGUGGACACCUGAAUUUAUUGCUUUUGGCAUUAUAAAUACGCUACUUAGAGGUAAUAAAAGGAGGAAUACCGCAAGAAGAUGCUGGUUAAAAUGACUGAACUUGGUUUUAUUUUCUGCUUCUAGCACCGUAAAAUGUACUCCUUUACUUACAAAAAGGACGUGUUUUAUCAGUUAGCAAACCACUGUUUAGCGUCAUAUUAUUAGGAAAAUAUAUUCUAAACAUAUGCAAUUUUGUGGCAACGUUGGGAAUAAGUGCAGCAGGUGGAAACCGUCAAAAGUUGGCAACAGAACCGCCAUCUAAUCCAAAGUUGCAGUCAUUCUUGAGCCUUGAAACCAUCAUGGUAGCAGGUGUCCAUACUUUCUCUGUGAUGUUACUCUACUCUCACUUAACGCGUCCGCUCGAGAUAAACAAAGCAUGCAAGGGAGUUACAAAUUGUCUUAUCCCUACAUUAAGUUCCUGUGCAGUUUUACUUAGAAAAUGAUCCACUAGACGGAGUAAGAAUGAAAGCACCAAAAGACAUGUUUCCUCAUCAAAAGUUUCCAAAAACAUAGAUAUUAAAACUAAUGAACAAGCUAAUUUGUGGAGUUUUUGCAAAAUAUUUACACAGACACUAAAAGUUAUCACAAAAAGGAUGAACUUGCAGAACAGCUCCUACUCUCAUUUUUUUAAGGAGUCUUAGUUUAAACGUGGACUGAUUCAUGUAGUGUGGUGUUUAAUUUGGACCGCGUUAAGCAGAAAGAAAUCAAGCCACAUCAACUGUUGCUAAAUUUAAUUAGAUUAUUUAAUGUUUUACAUGAAAACGGUUGUGCGAAUAUUUGUGCAAAUUUUAGUGAAUUUGCUGCAUAGUACGAAGCAAAUUCCACAAAAUUUUCGAAGGAAUCCACACAAACGUUCUUUUGUAAAAAAACAAAAUUGCCCAGUUAAAUAUGAACGUAUUUCUGUCAAACGGAACUAUGUGCAUUAUGACGUGAGCCCUGGUAUGCAUGUGCUCUUGUGGGUCUCAGGGCUCAUGUCCUAAUGCACAUAGUUCCGUUUGAUAGAAAUACGUCCAUAUGGCAGUAGCUGAUGUGGUUUGCUUCCUUUCUGCUGAACGCAGAACAUUUCUUACUCUCGGCAGUGAUGCCUAGAGCAAUAAUCAUAGAUAGAAUUGGAGUACAACUCACCACAUUGGCCGGAGUAUCGGACCCGGAUGCUCCUCUGCGUGCGACAAGCGGCCAAUCGGAGGUGACACAGACUGCGAUACGUGUUCCCGUCCGAGCCGCAAACUGAGGGACCGCCCCCCUCGGGGCACUCCGCUGGGCAAUGACAACGAGCGUCGCCCCUCUCGUCCGCCGAGCAUAGCGCCCCGUGGGCGCACGUUGUCUUUUCACAGGGCUCUGAAACAAAUAAAUCCACCAAAAUUGAAAUCGUUUCCUCUAUUUCCUUCAUUUUUUCAUGUAAAAUUCCUUUAAAUUUGUGUGAAAUUAGAAAAUUAAAGAUUUGCCAGGAGAAAUUUGGCAACGCCAGAGGGCUCAUACGGCGUUUUUCCUUAGCACGAAAGAUUAGUAAAGCGUGCUGCUCGAUAAAAUCGUCUAUUGAUGCUAGUACUGCGCGUGAGGCGUGGCGUGACGGAAUGGACCACUAGACAAGGUACGGAUUUCAGCAAUCUGAUACAUGUUUCUUAACCAGAAUUUCACGUAAAGCACGAUUCGCGCAACGAAUAUUACUGAAACUAACUCCUAACGGAGAAAUCAACGUUUUUAUUUCACAUUGGUUUCGAGGGAUUUUAACUGCCUGCUCACAAGAAACUCAAAGCUCUACGUGAGUCAAAUCGCACGCUAAAACGGUUUCAGCAAGCUUCUCAAUCGAGGAAUGUUCAUUUCCCACCAUGUGUUGUUCAAACUAUUAUCAAUUUGCUACAGCUGAGCCAAAGCGUCAAGAUUGAGGUUGCCAGAUUUUUAAAUCGCAGAGACUGUCAUGAUAAACGUUUAGCGCGCGAUGUGAAUCACGUAGAGCAUUGAGUUUCCAUGACCGGGUGGUUUGAAUUCACGCACCAAGAAUCAUUUUUGUAAGAAGUUGAUUUCGGUAAUUUUCGUUGUAAGCAUCGUGUUUUACGUGAAAUUUUGAUUAAGAAACAUGUAUCAGAAUGCUGAAAUCCGUACCUUGUCUAGUGGUCCAUUAGGGAGAUUAAUCAUGGGUGCACGCCAAUACUCAAUGUCAGGUACGCGGCCGUAUGAGUUGUGUAAGAUUCGUCUUUUUUUCUUUUCAUUUUUCUUUUAGUGUAUGU